GAUGAAGAACGUAGUGAAUUGCGAUAAGUAAUGUGAAUUGCAGAAUUCAGUGAAUCAUCGAAUCUUUGAACGCACAUUGCGCCCCCUGGUAUUCCGGGGGGCAUGCCUGUUCGAGCGUCAUUUCACCACUCAAGCCUCGCUUGGUAUUGGGCAUCGCGGUCCGCCGCGCGCCUCAAAUCGACCGGCUGGGUCUUCUGUCCCCUAAGCGUUGUGGAAACUAUUCGCUAAAGGGUGUUCGGGAGGCUACGCCGUAAAACAACCCCAUUUCUAAGGUUGACCUCGGAUCAGGUAGGGAUACCCGCUGAACUUAAGCAUAUCAAUAAGCGGAGGA
RNAcentral lists this unclassified non-coding RNA (331 nucleotides) under soil metagenome. RNAcentral's name for it is "partial contains 5.8S ribosomal RNA, internal transcribed spacer 2, and large subunit ribosomal RNA". The stretch from base 1 to 120 matches the Rfam family "5.8S ribosomal RNA", at positions 35 to 154 of the family's 154-position model. The record is from RNAcentral.